GCAAAUAAUGAGAGUCCCUGCUGUUCCACAUCCUCACCAGCAUUUGCUGUCAUCGGCAUUCUAGAUUUUGGCCACUCUAAUAGAGACCAGAGACAAACUUGGAACUCUUCCAAAAGACCCAAAUGUGAGCUCCCUGAGAAAAGGGACUAUGUUUUCAGCAUUGUCUCUCCAGUGCCUAAACAAUGCCUGGCAUUUAGGAGAUGAUUUCAGAUCUGUUCCCAAAGCUACAGAGUGGAUGUGCUCCGUGACCAGAAAAUGGAUUUGAAGAGCCCAAAG
Suricata suricatta (meerkat) is the source of this 276-nucleotide long non-coding RNA. RefSeq lists it as uncharacterized. The transcript has 4 exons. The record is from RefSeq and is a predicted model, not a curated record. NCBI's taxonomy places the organism in Eukaryota, Metazoa, Chordata, Mammalia, Carnivora, Herpestidae.